Molecule: small nuclear RNA, 103 nt
Organism: Hibiscus syriacus
Lineage: Eukaryota; Viridiplantae; Streptophyta; Magnoliopsida; Malvales; Malvaceae
Source: RefSeq, a predicted model, not a curated record
UAAUCAUAUGUUUUUUUUAAAAAAAUUGGAACGACAUAGAAAAGAUUAGCAUAGCCCCUGCACAAGGAUGACAUGCACAAAUCGAGAAAAUUAUGUAUAUUAU